RNAcentral lists this transfer RNA (72 nucleotides) under Angiostrongylus costaricensis. It matches the Rfam family "tRNA". Rfam says of the family: Transfer RNA (tRNA) molecules are approximately 80 nucleotides in length. The record is from Rfam by way of RNAcentral. Lineage: Eukaryota; Metazoa; Nematoda; Chromadorea; Rhabditida; Metastrongylidae.
GCCUCAUUGGCCCGGAGGCAGAGCGUCUGUAUUGUAAAUAGAAUGCCUCUGGUUCGAUUCUAGCAUGAGGCA